GUGUCAGCAGCCGCGGUAAAACGUAGGAUGCGAGCGUUAUCCGGAGUUACUGGGCGUAAAGCGCGGGCAGGCGGUGUCGCACAUUGGACGUGAAAGCGCCCGGCUCAACCGGGCGAGGCCGUUCGAGAUGGCGGCGCUGGAGGGCAGCAGAGGGGCGUGGAAUUCCGGGUGGAGUGGUGAAAUGCGUAGAGAUCCGGAGGAACACCAGAGGCGCAGGCGGCGCCCUGGGCUGCACCUGACGCUGAGCCGCGACAGCCAGGGGAGCGAACGGGAUUAGAAACCCCCGUAGUCC
RNAcentral lists this ribosomal RNA (292 nucleotides) under uncultured bacterium. RNAcentral describes it as "partial 16S ribosomal RNA". It matches the Rfam family "Bacterial small subunit ribosomal RNA", at positions 505 to 796 of the family's 1533-position model. The record is from RNAcentral.